RNAcentral lists this ribosomal RNA (844 nucleotides) under uncultured archaeon. Its description in RNAcentral is "bacterial SSU rRNA". It matches the Rfam family "Archaeal small subunit ribosomal RNA", at positions 28 to 875 of the family's 1478-position model. The record is from RNAcentral.
UGCUACAGCCGUUAGCAUGUCUAGCAUGCGAGUCAUUGUAGCAAUACAAGGCGGACGGCUCAGUAACACGUAGUCAACAUAACUCGUGGACGUGGAUAACCUCGGGAAACUGAGAAUAAACCACGAUAGAUCAUAGUGCCUGGAAUGGCUUAUGGUCCAAACAGUUUACUGCCAUGGGAUGGGACUGCGGCCUAUCAGCUUGUUGGUGAGGUAAUGGCCCACCAAGGCGAUUACAGGUACGGGCUCUGAGAGGAGAAGCCCGGAGAUGGGUACUGAGACACGGACCCAGGCCCUAUGGGGCGCAGCAGGCGAGAAACCUUAGCAAUGUGCGAAAGCACGACUGGGUCAGUCCGAGUGAUUCCUGAUAAAGGAGUCUUUUGCUUGUCCUAAAAGCACAGGUGAAUAAGGGGUGGGCAAGUCUGGUGUCAGCCGCCGCGGUAAUACCAGCACCUCGAGUGGUCAGGACGUUUAUUGGGCCUAAAGCAUCCGUAGCCGGCUCUGCAAGUCUUCGGUUAAAUCCACCUGCUCAACAGAUGGGCUGCUGGAGAUACUACAGAGCUAGGGAGUGGGAGAGGCAGACGGUAUUCAGUGGGUAGGGGUAAAAUCCUCUGAUCCAUUGAGGACCACCAGUGGCGAAGGCGGUCUGCCAGAACACGUUCGACGGUGAGGGAUGAAAGCUGGGGGAGCAAACCGGAUUAGAUACCCGGGUAGUCCCAGCUGUAAACGAUGCAAACUCGGUGAUGCAUUGGCUUAUGGGCCAAUGCAGUGCCGCAGGGAAGCCGUUUAAGUUUGCCGCCUGGGAAGUACGGACGCAAGUCUGAAACUCAAAGGAAUUGACGGAAUC